GCCUGGGGAAUAAUGCAGUAAAGGAAGUGAGCCGGCUCGGCCUGACUGCUCCAACUUCCUGCUCUCACACACACCAGAGGGGAAAAAAAAGAGGAGCGAGAGAAAGAAAAAAAAAGGGGGGGAAAAAUCAGGAUCUCAUUACAAGAGCAACAGACCGUCUGCAGACGCCUGUCAGCAUGGAAAGUCGGGGGCUUUCGCCCGGUUCCUCCUAGAAAUUCCCCCGAAGAAGGAUCUCGAAAGCUCCCCCACAUCUGGGUAUGGAGAGUGCAAUCACGCUGUGGCAGUUCCUGUUGCAGUUGCUGCUGGACCAGAAACAUGAGCAUCUGAUCUGCUGGACUUCCAACGAUGGUGAGUUCAAGCUCCUCAAAGCAGAAGAAGUGGCCAAGCUGUGGGGACUCCGCAAAAACAAGACGAACAUGAACUACGACAAGCUGAGCAGAGCCCUGCGCUACUAUUAUGACAAG
This is a long non-coding RNA of Myotis brandtii (Brandt's bat), 464 nucleotides long. RefSeq lists it as uncharacterized. The record is from RefSeq and is a predicted model, not a curated record. Lineage: Eukaryota; Metazoa; Chordata; Mammalia; Chiroptera; Vespertilionidae. The transcript has 2 exons.